This 1011-nucleotide long non-coding RNA is filed under the name Coturnix japonica (Japanese quail). RNAcentral's name for it is "lncRNA (ENSCJPG00005020312.1)". Lineage: Eukaryota; Metazoa; Chordata; Aves; Galliformes; Phasianidae. The record is from RNAcentral.
AUGGUCACUCGGCCGGCACCAGCACAGACAGCUGGGAUGGAGAUGCUCCAGAGGCCCUGCUGUGCUGUGCCGUGCCGUGCUGUGCCGUGCCGUGCUGUGCUGUGCUCUACUGUGCCGUGCUGUGCCGUGCCGUGCUGUGCCGUGCCGUGCCGGAGCUGGUUUUGGGGAGUGGUUUUUCCCACAGUGCUCCCUGCUGUGCUGUGCUUCGGUUCUGCGCUGAAAACACUGCUGAGUACACAGGGAUGUAGCUGCAGCUCGGCAGUGCUCACACCGUCCAGGUCUUCCCUGCUCCUCAUGCUGCACGUGCACAGCUCCUGUCCUGCCAGGAGGGCACGGGGCCGGGACAGCGGGGAUGCUGCAGGUCACACAGUGCCGUGCUUGGGAACAGAACAGGGGGCCGUUCUUCCAGGUGUUGGUGCCGUUCGGGCACUGGUUGCUCAGCGCUCUGCGGUUGGUUUUGCACCACGAGCUUCUCUGGGGCUGUUUUUAUCACGGGGCGGAGUUUGCGCUCCUUACCAAACAUUUCCCCUUCCUGCUCAUCCCGAUGCCGGCACGGCAGCCCUCACGUUUCACAACUUGCACCGUUCCCGCCCCCCCCCCCCGUUUCCCGCAGGGCAGAUCCGACCCGCUGUGCGCGCGGUGCAGCAGCGCCCGAGCGGCCCCUUUAAGAGCAGCGGGACGGCGGAGCCCACGGGCGCAGCCGCGUCCGAGCGGCGCUUGCGCAGGCGCACAGCUGUUCCCCGUGACUUAUUCGGCGCUGCCCGCGGCGGAAGUCGAGUUCUCGGGCGGGUCGGGGCGUUGCGCGUGCGCAGUGCGCGGUACGGCCCGGCUGCCCGCCGUGCGCUUUGUGGCGCUGCCGGAAGCGGCGGCGGGGAGCGGAGCGGGGCGGCUCGGAGCGUUCGUCCCGGUUUGUCUCGUCCGGCCGCGGGCAGCGAUGGAGCCGGCCUGAGGGCGGGGCACGGCACGGCACGACACGGCACGACAUGCCCGCGGGCCUCUCGCCGCAGGUAA